CAAACGGUGGUAUUUACCACCAUUUAAAAAAAAAAAAAAAAGAAA
This is a non-coding RNA of Pterocles gutturalis (yellow-throated sandgrouse), 45 nucleotides long. The record is from Rfam. NCBI's taxonomy places the organism in Eukaryota, Metazoa, Chordata, Aves, Pterocliformes, Pteroclidae.